RNAcentral lists this ribosomal RNA (506 nucleotides) under uncultured bacterium. RNAcentral's name for it is "partial 16S ribosomal RNA". It matches the Rfam family "Bacterial small subunit ribosomal RNA", at positions 30 to 523 of the family's 1533-position model. The record is from RNAcentral.
AUUGAACGCUGGCGGUAUGCUUAACACAUGCAAGUCGAACGGUAGCACGGUCUAGCUUGCUAGAUGGGUGACGAGUGGCGAACGGGUGGGUAACGCGUAGGAAUAUGCCUUGAAGAGGGGGACAACUUGGGGAAACUCAAGCUAAUACCGCAUAAUAUCUUCGGAUGAAAGUUGGGGACCUUCGGGCCUGACGCUUUAAGAUUAGCCUGCGUAUGAUUAGCUAGUUGGUAGGGUAAAGGCCUACCAAGGCGACGAUCGUUAGCUGGUCUGAGAGGAUGACCAGCCACACUGGAACUGAGACACGGGCCAGACUCCUACGGGAGGCAGCAGUGGGGAAUAUUGGACAAUGGGGGCAACCCUGAUCCAGCAAUACCGCGUGUGUGAAGAAGGCCUGAGGGUUGUAAAGCACUUUCAGUGGGGAGGAGGAUUGAUUGGUUAAGAGCUGAUUGAUUGGACGUCACCCACAGAAGAAGCACCGGCUAACUCCGUGCCAGCCGCCGCCGUAA